UUACACGACCGUACCGCAAACCGACACUGGUGCGCGAGAUGAGUAUUCUAAGGCGCUUGAGAGAACUCAGGAGAAGGAACUCGGCAAAUUGACACCGUAACUUCGGAAGAAGGUGUGCCUUUAGUAGGUGAACCUGUACAAGGGGAGCCCAAUGAGGUUGCAAAAAAUCGGUGGCUGCGACUGUUUAAUAAAAACACAGCACUCUGCAAACACGAAAGUGGACGUAUAGGGUGUGACGCCUGCCCGGUGCUGGAAGAUUAAAUGAUGGGGUGCAAGCUCUUGAUUGAAGUCCCAGUAAACGGCGGCCGUAACAAUAACGGUCCUAAGGUAGCGAAAUUCCUUGUCGGGUAAGUUCCGACCUGCACGAAUGGCGUAACGAUGGCCACACUGUCUCCUCCUGAGACUCAGCGAAGUUGAAAUGUUUGUGAUGAUGCAAUCUCCCCGCGGAAAGACGGAAAGACCCCAUGAACCUUUACUGUAGCUUUGUAUUGGACUUUGAACAGAUCUGUGUAGGAUAGGUGGGAGGCUUUGAAGUGUGGUCGCUAGAUCGCAUGGAGCCAACGUUGAAAUACCACCCUGGUGUGUUUGAGGUUCUAACCUAGGCCCGUAAUCCGGGUCGGGGACAGUGCAUGGUAGGCAGUUUGACUGGGGCGGUCUCCUCCCAAAGCGUAACGGAGGAGUUCGAAGGUACGCUAGGUACGGUCGGACAUCGUGCUAAUAGUGCAAUGGCAUAAGCGUGCUUAACUGCGAGACUGACAAGUCGAGCAGAUGCGAAAGCAGGACAUAGUGAUCCGGUGGUUCUGUAUGGAAGGGCCAUCGCUCAACGGAUAAAAGGUACUCUGGGGAUAACAGGCUGAUACCGCCCAAGAGUUCAUAUCGACGGCGGUGUUUGGCACCUCGAUGUCGGCUCAUCUCAUCCUGGGGCUGUAGCCGGUCCCAAGGGUAUGGCUGUUCGCCAUUUAAAGAGGUACGUGAGCUGGGUUUAAAACGUCGUGAGACAGUUUGGUCCCUAUCUUCCGUGGGCGCUGCAGAUUUGAGGAAGCCUGCUCCUAGUACGAGAGGACCGGAGUGGACACACCUCUGGUGUAUCGGUUGUCACGCCAGUGGCAUUGCCGAGUAGCUAUGUGUGGAAGAGAUAACCGCUGAAAGCAUCUAAGCGGGAAACUCGUUUCAAGAUGAGAUCUGCCGGGGCCUUGAGCCCCCUAAAGAGUCGUUCAAGACCAGGACGUUGAUAGGUCGGGUGUGGAAGCGCAGUAAUGCGUUAAGCUAACCGAUACUAAUUGCUCGUGCGGCUUGACC
RNAcentral lists this ribosomal RNA (1299 nucleotides) under metagenome. RNAcentral's name for it is "bacterial LSU rRNA". It matches the Rfam family "Bacterial large subunit ribosomal RNA", at positions 1634 to 2925 of the family's 2925-position model. The record is from RNAcentral.